This is a long non-coding RNA of Brachypodium distachyon (stiff brome), 547 nucleotides long. RefSeq lists it as uncharacterized. The record is from RefSeq and is a predicted model, not a curated record. The transcript has 3 exons. NCBI's taxonomy places the organism in Eukaryota, Viridiplantae, Streptophyta, Magnoliopsida, Poales, Poaceae.
UUCUUUCCAGGCACUCACUGACCGUGAAGUUUCUACUAUGAUGCUCCUGGCUUAUCUCUCUUACAUGCUGGCUGAAGUUGUACCCAUCUGGUCAAUUUAAAUCGAGGCUUUGUUAAGAAGUUCAUUAGCAAGCUAAGCCAUCAUUUAACAGAUUGGGCCGCUGCUAGCUGGAUUCGUCACUGCCAGCCACCUCCCGCCGAUUUGUAGCCUCCUAGCGGCAGUCGACGGCUUGGAAAAACAGGAAAUAUCGAGAAGGUUUCCAUAUAUUUUAUUCGAGAGCCAACAAGAGUUUUGCUCAUCUAAACAUCAUCAAUGUUAAUAUGGGUCCUUAGGUAUCUUAUAUUCUGUCAACUUCAGCUUGGAUGGAGAUGUAUUCUGUAUAUAAUAUUGUGUAAUGUUUAUGCUUGGAUUGAAUUGCGUUGUAACCUUCUUGAUGAUGAUAUCAGGCACUGCUUAUGACUGCCUGAAUGAAUUGCAUUGUAAUUAUGUCGUUGCAUACGACCAGUACAUUGGAUGAAUUGAAUUGCAUUGAAAUAUUGCAAUUUUU